AAUUUGCAUAAUUUCAACUCCAGUGUUACAUGAAAGUUAUGUGGUGUUUGGAAGGAUGCCUUUUUCUUUGUUUUUUAGCAAAGGAGUCUUUUAAAUCAUUUGUAUACAAAAGGAAUUAGGAUCCAAAUGCUGUUACUGAUACAGGUUUGAUGCUUCAAAUGUGGCUUUUCCCUCCCUUAGGGGUAUAGAACAGGCUAUGCUUACAGGCAUCCUCUCAUUCGAGAGAAGCCUAGGCACAAGAGUGAUGUGGAAAUCCCAGCAACUGUGACUGCUUUUUCCUUUGAAGACGAUACAGUGCCACUCUCUCCUCUCAAAUACAUGGCACAGAGGCAACAGCGUGAAAAAACAAGAUGGCUGAACUCACCAAAUACUUACAUGAAAGUGAAUGUGCCUGAGGAGUCUCGGAACGGAGAAACCAGUCCCCGAACCAAAAUCACGUGGAUGAAAGCAGAAGACUCAUCUAAAGUUAGUGGUGGAACACCUAUCAAAAUUGAAGAUCCAAAUCAGUUUGUUCCUUUAAACACAAACCCGAAUGAGGUACUAGAAAAGAGAAAUAAGAUUCGGGAACAAAAUCGAUAUGACUUGAAAACAGCAGGACCACAAUCUCAGUUGCUUGCUGGAAUUGUUGUGGAUAAGCCACCUUCUACUAUGCAAUUUGAAGAUGAUGAUCAU
This 672-nucleotide small RNA is filed under the name Pan troglodytes (chimpanzee). Its description in RNAcentral is "processed transcript". Lineage: Eukaryota; Metazoa; Chordata; Mammalia; Primates; Hominidae. The record is from RNAcentral.